RNAcentral lists this ribosomal RNA (427 nucleotides) under uncultured bacterium. Its description in RNAcentral is "bacterial SSU rRNA". It matches the Rfam family "Bacterial small subunit ribosomal RNA", at positions 355 to 796 of the family's 1533-position model. The record is from RNAcentral.
UGAGGGAUAUUGCACAAUGGGCGCAAGCCUGAUGCAGCGACGCCGCGUGGAUGAAGAAGGCCUUCGGGUCGUAAAAUCCUUUUGCGCAUGACGAGAACAAGGACGGUAGUGCGCGAAGAAGUCUCGGCUAACUACGUGCCAGCAGCCGCGGUAAAACGUAGGAGACGAACGUUAUCCGGAGUUACUGGGCGUAAAGGGCGUGCAGGCGGUCUGAUAAGUUCGGCGUGAAAUAUUCCGGCUUAACCGGAAUAGGUCGUCGGAGACUGUCGGACUAGAGGGCGAUAGAGGCGUGUGGAAUUCCGGGUGUAGUGGUGAAAUGCGUAGAGAUCCGGAGGAACACCAGUGGCGAAGGCGACACGCUGGGUCACACCUGACGCUAAAACGCGACAGCAUGGGGAGCGAACGGGAUUAGAUACCCCCGUAGUCC